This 369-nucleotide ribosomal RNA is filed under the name Rhodophyta sp. ARS-2011. RNAcentral describes it as "bacterial LSU rRNA". It matches the Rfam family "Bacterial large subunit ribosomal RNA", at positions 2099 to 2465 of the family's 2925-position model. The record is from RNAcentral. Lineage: Eukaryota; Rhodophyta.
CUUUACUGUAACUUGAGAUUGAAUUUGGGUUUGUUUUGCGCAGUAUAGGUGGGAAGCUAAGAUUAUAUGCUCGCGGGUGUAUAUAAGCUGCCAGUGAGAUACCACUCUAAAUAAACUAGAAUUCUAACUUUGGAAGCCGUUAACCGGCCGGAGAACAGUCUCAGGUGGGCAGUUUGACUGGGGCGGUCGCCUCCUAAAAAGUAACGGAGGCGUACAAAGGUUUCCUCAGGCUGGUCGGAAAUCAGUCAUAGAGUACAAAGGCAUAAGGAAGCUUGACUGUAAGACCUACAAGUCGAACAGAGACGAAAGUCGGUCUUAGUGAUCCGACAGUUCUGAGUGGAAAGGCUGUCGCUCAACGGAUAAAAGUUA